AUUCACAUGCGUUUCAUUCACUUUUCACAUUUUCAGCGUUUUCAACUUUUCUCCGUAGAGACUGCACGCCGCCGAAUCCGAAACAUACACACACACCGACACACGCACCCCACGAAAGUAUACACGGAUAUAUGGGUUCGGGACCAGGCAUCGCAUCAGCGGAAUAUCGAGCAGAUACUCUCCUCCGUACGUAAGACGCGUACACACGGCGGACACAGUGGUUGCAGGUCAAUUUGUAUUGAAAACACAGUGACAGCUGUCAAGAACAAUUAUCAUAUCGUUGGAUUAAUUAAUGACCUCACACCUUAAGCACUAAAAAAAUGGCCAAUUAUCGCGUCACGUUGAGUCAUCUCUGCAUUCUAUAUGGAUAGCAUUUGUAAACAAACAAAACAUUAAUCAAUUGAGGUAAUUGAAUCCAAGUGCAGCCCACUGUGCCUGCGUAAGAUAGGACAACGUUGGUCGAAAGAAUAAGGAACUAGGGAUGGUUUCCACAGAUUUUCCACGUGACUUUCCUAAUUAAUUACAUAUCUAGAUACUAAUUCAAUAGUUUUUAAAAUUUUUGCAAGCUCCUAAUAUGCAUAGGAAUUCUACAAAUUGUUUUAAUUCAAUUUAGGGAAGGAAUUCAGCAUGAUUAAACGUAAAUACAGGUAGUAAACCAUAUAGAAAAAGUUUAUAGGCAAAUUGGAUGUUAAUUUGAUAAAUAGCUGCGAUAACCAUUUAGACAAACAUCAUUUUCUAAAGAUACUGGGGUGAGUAAUCCAUGGGAUAGAUGCUACAAAUUAAAUUGGCGCUGCUACUAGCUUGACCGCUGCUGCAUCGAUGCCGUUGGGGCGGUGUUUUGUACUAUUUCGCCGUUUUUACGUGGGGAUGGUAUGGGCAAGGGAUGGGAGACGGAGACGGAGACGAAGACGCGAGAUCGUGGAUGCUGGGAAAUGCCCGACGGGAUGAGACCGGGAGCUGCGUUUGAGGCUGCUGCUUCUUCAACUUUGUACUAUUUAUUCGAAAAUAAAUUACGAAGUAGUUGCUGCACACACACAAACACACACACACCUAGUGCACUUUACAUAUGCCGCGGGGUGUGUGUCUGCAUGAGGCUGUGGUGGUGCGUGUGACGUACAUAUGCCCGGAGGCGCGCGUGCUGACGACAACGGCGUGCUGAGACACCGAGAGAUUCCGUCAUUAAUUAA
This is a long non-coding RNA of Drosophila serrata, 1187 nucleotides long. RefSeq lists it as uncharacterized. The record is from RefSeq and is a predicted model, not a curated record. NCBI's taxonomy places the organism in Eukaryota, Metazoa, Arthropoda, Insecta, Diptera, Drosophilidae.